CUGUGAGCCAAAGAAACCGCUUUUCUUUAUAAAUUACCCAGUUUCAGGUAUUUCCUUGCAGCAACAUGAAAGACUAAUACAGUGGGGCCCACCAAGCUGCCUCGUAGCCGGAGGGAAUCUCUUUGGCCAACAGUUGGCCUUGAGAAUGUCAAACAGACAUGCAGAAUCUAAGAAAACACAGAACGGGCAGACAGAGAGUGGGCUUUUCCUUCAUGUUGGGUAUUAGAAAAGGGGAGAUUCCCAUUCCUGAGGCUGUGUCAGGGUGUGGGGGGUGUGGCCUGCCCUGGCCUGAGGUGUGCUCCUUUUAAGACUUCCCACCCAUUGGUCAAAGCGUCCACCCUGAAUGGACCAGGUUGCUGGUGGACACUGAUCCCUGUGGCCAGGGCCUCCGAGCAUUUGGUGUUCAGCUCAUCGGGGACUCUGUGGACACCAGAGGGCAGAAUGGGGUCUGUCUGCCCAAAAGCCCCGUGGGGAGUGAGCGUGAAUUACCCCAGAGUCUGUGUAGGGAAGCCUCCUGGAGCCUGGUGCUUUCUCCUUUACAGUGGCUUUCAGUUUGUGGAUUUUUCUGAAGUUAUUGGCCUUGGAGCUUGCGUCAAGUUUCCCGAAGACCACUCCCAGUGUUGGUGAUUUUCUCAGGAGGACUCACAGCCCUCAUCACGUGGUGCUAUCCUCACAGCAUGGUUCAUUACUACGAAAGGACACAGAGCAAGCCAGCAGGGGAAAGUCACGUGGGGCAGAGUCCGGGGAUCUGGGCGCAAGUUCCCAAGAGCCUGUCCUGGUGCAGCUACACAGGACAAGGUUAUUUUCUCCAGUGUCAGGUUAUGACAACACUUGUGAACUGUCAGCUACAGGAUACUCUUAGGGACUCAGCGCCCAGGGUUUUUACUAGGGCGUAGCAUGUACCCAAAUUCUAGGCUCCCUGAGGGAAAGCAGGUGUUCAGUGGAAAGCACACUUGUUAAAAGUGGCUGAGGCACAGGGAGCCACCCUUACCAUCUGGGGACGCUGGGGAUCCUGCAGCCCACUGUGCAGGGAUGGGGGUGCCGUGCUGCAUCCCAGGGCUGAGGAGGAUUGUUUGGCUGGGGGGCUCUGUCAGUAGAAUGCAGAGGGGAGGGUCCCUCCUGAUGUUCCCAGGAGUGAAGGCAGCUCUUCAUAGUGAGUCUAGUGUUGGGCCCUGCACUAACACAAGCAGGUGCCCGGCAGGCGUUUGCCGAGGGAGGGGAAGAAUGAAGCAAUGUAUGGUGGGGUUUCUAGAACCCUCCCUGGGGAUGGCUUCUCCGUGGAGGGUAGUGAAUCCCACAGCCCCACAAGGCCCUCAGCUGGGGUGAGUUUCAGGCCACAGCGGCUCACUGGCCCUGUGACCUGAUGUGAGGGCCACCAGGGCAGGGCUUUUAGAUGCUUCCCCUGUGCUGUGUUCUCGGAGGCCUGAACACAGAGGCUCACUAAAUACUUGCUUGUUGAGAAAGGCCAAUCCCUAAACAAACCACUGUGAUGGGGGCUUAGCAGAUGCCAGUUGACUUAGCUUGUCCCCACUGUCCUUGGAGCCUGAGGCAAAAGGAGCUUCCCCUCAUGCACCAGAGACCCUUCCCUUCUGUGGGAAGAGGAAAGGGUUACCUGGGAGACUCUGUCCUGUUCUGGCACAGGAAGGGGGAAAGGACAUGGCUAGCAAGCUUGGCGGGGGCCACUGCAUGUGGCUUGGGCUGCUGCCCAUAGGCAGGAUGUCCUCUGUGGCCAGGGGCUGGCUGAUUUCCGCCUUGUGUUUUUGCCUCUUUGCUCUUCUGGGAGGAGGAAGCUGGAUCUGGGAGUGGGGCAAGGGGAGGCUGGCGGCUGCAGGAGGGAUGCCUGAAACCCAGCCUUCCUUGGUCCGUGGCCUGAGGUGAGGCCACACAGGGUGGUGAUGGCCUGCCCUUGCUGGAGCACGUGCAGCUUCUGCGUCAUGAGCUUGGAGACCAGGGCCACGCUCUGUGUUGUCAUCUGUGCUGCUUCCCUGUCCCCAGGGCUACUUAGCCCCUUCGGGAACUGCCCCUUCCUGCAGGGGUGACAGGGAUCCCUCCCUGAGGCAGAACUCCACCCCCGAAGCCCAUGUGGCCCUUCCCUGGCAUGUGCUCCCUUGCCAAGGGAGCUACCAUGGAAGGUGUCUCAUGGGUUCCUGGGGGCUGCCUCUGAGCUGUGCCGGCUGUUCUCCACAUGAGGGCCCUGGCAGACGGACCACUGGGCUGGAAUCCAUGCUCUGCACCCUGGGCUGGGCUGUUCUGUCCAGAGGAAGGGGCUCCCCCUCCCACUUCUCACAAAGGGACCCUGUGGACGAGCAGGGGCAGGGGAGCCUGGCACAGCCCAGGCGGGGCAGGCUCUUCUCCCUGUAGUGCCCAGAUUAUGACGAGUGACCCGGUUCCUGGGCUGCUGUUACGUGUGCGGGGCUCUGAGCUGCUUCUGCAGGUUCUGCUGCAACCACAGUAUUAGGGUGCAAGGAACAUGGGGUGAGGGCCUUGGAGCUGCCGGGGCUCUUGGAGCUUUGUCCUUAGCGCUUGCCAGCUUUGGAGAACUUGCCUGCAGUUCCCAGUGUGGCUGAGAGUACAGACUUGAAGGACACACAGAGAAAGGGCAAGGUCGAGCUUGGCCUUUGCAUCUGGAUGGUGGCCAGGCUGUUGGCCACACCCUGGGGGUAGUUUAUGUGACAGCUGUUGCCUCCACUGGUUGGGGCAGGACUGCUGGGUGGUAGUACUGUGGAGAGCUCACGUUGGCUUCACUGCAAGGCCCGCAGUUGCCCCUCAUGUCUGUUUCUCUACUUGUCCAUCUGGAAACUCUACCCAAGCUCCAAGACUCAGCCCAAAGUCUCCUCCUCUGUGAAACCACCCUGCCCGUAGCCUGACUCUCCAGGGAGAAUUAAUUACUUUUAGAAGAAACACACACUCAUUCCACCUUCCGAGGACAGCAUCUUGCUCUAGUGACUCAGUCUGGGAAAGACAAAAACUGUGAUUUGAUGGAGUGAUUGUUGGUGCUCUUGGCAGUGUGUGUGUGUGUGUGUGUGCACGUGGAGGUUGUGUGUAUACAUGUGUAUGUAUGCAUGUGUGUACCAGCACACACACAGGAAAGUGCAUGGGUAGGCUUAGUAAUCUAGAACCUCUUAAGCAUCACCCAGGGCUUGUGAUGGGGCCUGUUGAUUUAUCGUCUUAUCAUGAUGUUUUUACCUGAAACUAUUUUCAGCUCGAUUUCUGUUUGACAGGGUACCGAGUGAGACCCAGCUGACCUGGAAAAUGACAGGGACACUUUUUAUCCUUCCAACUUAACCUUUCCGUCCUGACUUAACCUUUCCCUCUUUGACACAAAUGAAGAAAUUAGGGCUCUUGACUGCUACUGAUUUAAGGGGAUUACAGAGGCACUGCCAGCGAGCAUGAGCACAAGAGUUUAGCGCCUCUCGGCAGCUGAGAGAGGAUGCUGCAUACUUGGGGCCUGGGACCUCCGAGAAGACCUUCUUCAGCCGAAAGCACACCUUAUUCUUGUCCCAGUUGAAGGCUUCCCAACGGUCUUCAUGUGGCACUUGCUGUGUGCCAGGCCCCACUCUGGGCACUUGGUUUAUUUAAUUCUAACCAUGGUCCUAGGUGAUGGGCGCUGGUAUGACUGUGGGAAAGGGACAAGGUGGGAGAUGUGAACGAACUUCCGGAGCCCUCCCUCGGGCAGCCUAGCUCCCCGCCUCCUCCAACACCUUCUGUUGCUUUUCCAGCACAGCCAGUACUGGGCUCUUGGGUUCGAGCACGGGGCGGGGUGAAGGGUGCUGGGAGGUCACAUUCUUGCUUCCCAGCACUGAAGACUGGAAGAAUGAAUGGCACAGAUGAACAAGGCCGUCCUGCAUCCGCCGCUCACUAGAGGCUUCACAGCUGCGUAGGGACACAGGACAUCUGUACAAUAAAUACCAAUGGUAUUAGUGCCCUAGGGCUGCAGGAACAAAGCACCACAGACUGGGGGUGCUGGAACAGCAGAAACUCAGGCUCUCCCAUUUCUGGAUGCCGGAAGUCCAAAAUCUAGUGUCGGCAGGGCUGUGUCCUCUCUGAGGUUUCCAGGGGAGGAGGCUUCCUUGCUUCUCUGGCUUCUGGUGGUGGCUGGCAAUGCUCGGCAUUCCUUGGCUUAUGGACGCAGCACUGAAAUUGCAGCCCUUAUCUUCAUGUGGCCUUCCUUGUGGCGCUCUGUGUCCAAAUGUCCCUCUCCUCUAAGGACACCAGUCAUCGGAUUAGGCCAGCUCUAAUCCGGUGUGCCUCAUCUUGAUUUAACUAACUACAUCUGCAAAGACACUAUUUCCAGAUUACGUCACGUUCCGAGGUUCCUGGUGGACGUGAAUUUUUGGAAGACGCUGUCCAACCUGGGACACCAGCCAGCCCCUCUCUGGCUCCCUCAGUCCCUCCACCCUUCGGAAGUGGUAAAUGGUGGCUUGCUAACAGCGCCUGUAGCAGCCACCUCCUGGUGAUGGCAAAGGAAGGGCCCUCUCAGUCAUAGGGGCCAAUGGCGAGGAGGACCUGGGACGUGGUGCACUGAGCAUUUUCCCUUCUCAGCAGCUCACUCCUUUGUGUGUCUGUGAUGCGAAGGCUGUGACAUCAGUCAGCCUCAUGGAGAACUGGAACAACGGGCUCUGUGUCUUUGGAGAACGCGUCAAGACCAGGGCCUCUUCCCCUGCUCCCAUGGUUCCCAGCGUUCUUGUCUCCUGAGAGAGGAUGUAGUGGGUGUCAUGUUCAGCAUCGCAACUGGCCUCCGUGGAAACCAGGGUGGAGCUCAGACGGGUGUGGGGGGAGCAUGUGACUGAGCUCCUUCCCACUCUCUCUCCGGCACACACGGAGUCAGUGUAGGGAGGUGAUGGGUAAGGGCUUGAGUUUUGGGGUUGCACAGCUUGUGGGGACCCCACCUCAUUUCCUAGCUAGGCAGACCUGGCCCAGUGUCUGACCUUUCCCAUCUGUAAAUUAGGGGUGCAAAUAGCAUCCACCUCCGGGGUGUGGUGAAGGUGGAGCCAGUACCCAGCCAGUCCAGCUCUUUUUUGUUAGGAUUGCCCCACUGCGGCCACACCCUUCCAUCUGCCCGCUCCUGUUCCCGCAGGUAGACUCAGCCUGUGGGAUUCUGGCCUGGCUUCCCGGCAGCAAGCAGGAGCUUCAGAUGCUCAUUCCCGCCGCGGUCGGCUGUGGCGGCGACUCAUACCCGUUUCCGCUCGAAUGAUGCCAGCUGUCCUGCUGCGCCACCUUCCUCUGUCCUCGCAUCCGCUGAUGGGAUUUCCGGUCGCUUCCACUUUGUGGCUCUUUUGAAGAAUGCCGCUAGGAACAUUCACACGCAGGUUCUUGGCCAUAAAAUAUGGCUUUUGGAAAAAUAAAGCUGAGACUUGGAGUUCACGGUGGGGGCUCCCCCAUCUGUGAACAGAAGCAGAAGUUUGGAACUGCCUUCUUUACUGCUCGAGAGGGAAAACUUGAGUGAAAACCAGGAUGCUGGCGAAUGUUGAGUAGCUAAGCUGCACAGGAAAUACCACUUGAUGACCUGCGAUCUGGGGAAGCCGCGCCAGGGCUCUGCGAAGCUGCGGACGAGGGAGGCGUCAGUGUGGGGGCUGCAGCUCAGCUCCGGGGGGGACGCGCCUUUCUCCACGGGACCUGGGGCUCAGGUGCUCACGAGGCUGGGGCGCUGCAGGCCACCCGCAGGGGAAACUGAGGCCCUCCAUUUUGUGGGGCUGGAAGACCUUUCCUUCCAAAAGCAGGUGUAGGCGGGAGCACCUGUGCAGUCCCUCUGUUCAGAUCCUCACCCACUUUUAAAUCAGGAAACAGCAGAUGAAAUGCACAGUGUGAAGGACAAGGAUUCUGCUGAGAGAAUUGCUCCGAGGGUUGCUCAAGUGAUCAUGGGAAAUAAUGCAUCAAACCAUUCUUUAGAUGCAGCUCAGGUGUGCCUUUUCUUCGCCUGUGCCCAUCCACCUGAGAUGGACCAUAACCAUAAAAGUCAGAAGGCACUGACCCUUCAGGACGUGACAGGGUUAAAAGAUGCUGGAGGGAAAGUCUGUCAUUGACUUUUAUUCACUUCCUUUCUCCAUUCUGCCAUUUGGAAGAAGGUAAGCAACUUAACACUAUUUUAGACCAUAUGUUGUAAACUAGCAGGAAAAUGCCUUUGAGCUGAUGAUGGUGGCCCGAACACAGUGAACCUGUCUUAAAUCCCUGCUUUAAACCCUUAAGGGUGUCACUUACAAGAGAUACUAUUUGAAGUCUUCCCAUGCAUGUGUAGGGUGGGGGGAGUACCAACAGCUCAUCGAAUGGGCUCCAUUUGAAAGAUCUGGAUGGUUGCCUUUAUUUGUAACUAGUUUCUUUUCUUUUUUUUUUUUUCCUUGAG
This 6340-nucleotide long non-coding RNA is filed under the name Homo sapiens (human). RNAcentral describes it as "HSALNT0324965". Lineage: Eukaryota; Metazoa; Chordata; Mammalia; Primates; Hominidae. The record is from RNAcentral.